AGAUUGCUCUAAGUCUAAGGAUUGCAGCAGGGGCGAAACUUGACCUAUGAUAUUAUAUUGAGGCAGUUAUGAGUAGUAUUUUAUAAUUAUUGUAGUAUUGUAAGUACAUAUUACAAGAUAAAUCGGAGGGCAAAUCGAGUGCCAGCAGCCGCGGUAAUACYUGUUCCGAUAGUGUGUAUGAUGAUUGAUGCAGUUAAAAAGUCUGUAGUUUAUUUAUAAUAAGCAUUGUAAGGUAUACUGUAUGGUUAGGAGAGAGAUGAAAUGUGAUAACCCUAACUGGAUGAACAGAAGCGAAAGCUGUAUACUUAAAUGUAUUAUUAGAACAAGGACGUAAGCUAGAGGAUCGAAGAUGAUUAGAUACCAUUGUAGUUCUAGCAGUAAACUAUGUUGAAUCAUAGAUAUAUUUUGAUAUAUAUUUAUGUAGAGAAAUUAAGAUUAUAUUGACUCUGGGGAUAGUAUGAUCGCAAGAUUGAAAAUUAAAGAAAUUGACGGAAGAAUACCACAAGGAGUGGAUUGUGCGGCUUAAUUUGACUCAACGCGGGGUAAUUUACCAGGUAUAACAUGAUAUAAUAUUUUAUCAUGAUAGUGGUGCAUGGCCGUUUCCAAUGGAUGCUGUGAAGUAAUGAUUAAUUUCAACAAGAUGUGAGACCCUCAUUUAGACAGAUGUAGUGAUACAUAUGAAGGAGAGGAUUAAAACAGGUCCGUUAUGCCCUAAGAUAAUCUGGGUUGCACGCGCAAUACAAUAAUAUUUGAUAUUAUAAGGGAUAAUAUAAUGUAAGAUAUAUUUGAACAUGGAAUUGCUAGUAAAUUUUAUUUAAUAAGUAGAAUUGAAUGAGUCCCUGUUCUUUGUACACACCGCCCGUCGCUAUCUAAGAUGGUAUUAUCUAUGAACAAAUUUAUAAAGUGAAUAGAUAGUACUAGAUCUGAUAUAAGUCGUAACAUGGUUGCUGUUGGAGAACC
Molecule: ribosomal RNA, 960 nt
Filed under: uncultured Nosematidae
Lineage: Eukaryota; Fungi; Microsporidia
Description: SSU rRNA
Rfam family: Microsporidia small subunit ribosomal RNA
Source: RNAcentral